Molecule: ribosomal RNA, 254 nt
Filed under: uncultured bacterium
Lineage: Bacteria
Description: partial 16S ribosomal RNA
Rfam family: Bacterial small subunit ribosomal RNA
Source: RNAcentral
UACGUAGGGUGCAAGCGUUGUCCGGAAUUAUUGGGCGUAAAGAGCUCGUAGGCGGUCUGUCGCGUCGAUCGUGAAAACUUGGGGCUUAACCCUGAGCUUGCGGUCGAUACGGGCAUGACUGGAGUUCGGCAGGGGAGACUGGAAUUCCUGGUGUAGCGGUGAAAUGCGCAGAUAUCAGGAGGAACACCGGUGGCGAAGGCGGGUCUCUGGGCCGAUACUGACGCUGAGGAGCGAAAGCGUGGGGAGCAAACAGG